AGCAACCUGUUGGGGUUCCCUUCCACAAUGUAGAGCCUUUGUUGUUUUGCUCUUUGUAAUAAAUCUCGCUGUUGCUGAGUUUUUGAGUCUGCCCUGCCUUUAUGAGUUGUAACACUCACCGUGAAGGUCUGUAGCUUCACCCCUGAGGCCAGUGAAACCACGAACCCACCAGGAGGAAUGAACAACUCCAGACGCGCCUGCCUUAAGAGCUGUACCACUCACCUUGAAGGUCUGCAGUUUCUCUUCUGAAGCCAGCGAGGCUACGAACCCACCAGAAGUAAGAAACUCUGAACGUGUAUGAACAUCAGAAGGAACAAACUCUGGACACAUCACCUUGAAGAACUGUAACACUCACCGCGAGGGUCCACGUCCUCAUUUUUGAGAAUCCCAGUGUGCUCAUCCCAUCUGUGACUCCUGGUCACCGACACAUAAAGUGUAGCACACUGCCAAGCAGCACCUAACUUUCAGAUUUCAUGGUGAACUUGUCCGUGUGGGAAAAGGAGUCCUCGCAACUACUGAGGAUGCUAUUGCUUACUUUGGAGGCAAGAAAUUAUUCUAAACCUAAUUAAUCCACCGCAUCAUAAAAACUUACACCGUUGCUGUCUGAAUUUGUCUAGAAGAGACUGCUGCACAAGUAUUUUCUAAGAAUCGCUUGAGAACCUGCUAAGAUACUUCCAGGCCCAGAUAAUUUAGGUUGUAAUGCAAGAUUAAGAAACUGAUGUACAGGAGAAAAACCCAGGCAAUCAGCCAUAAUUUGGCUACACUUUUUAAGAAAAUGUUAUCUAGAUAUAUUUCUCAUUAGAGCUUACCAUGCUUUAAUGUAUCUCAAUAAAGUCUCCAUGAAUACCUAAAAUGUUACAAUUCACAGCCUUAAACUAAAUUUUCUGUUUUGUUUUAAAGUUAUUAUAGUUAAAAUUAGGAGAUUUAGCCUGGUAUCAUGACCUAUGUCUGUGGUCUCAGCUACUCGGGAAGCUGAGACAGGAGGAUCACUUGAACCAAAGUGAUCAAGGCUGCAGUGAGCUAUGUUUGGGUGACUGCACUUCAGCCUGUAAAACAGAGCAAGAUCCUGUCUCAAUAAAAUAAACUAAGAUAAAAGAAGAGAAAUACGAGUAAAAAAUAUAAUUUUUCCUACUUUUCAAUAAGCAUAAGUGUUUUUUGGUUUUGUUUUGUUGCAAAUUCACUAUAUAAUAACCAAUCCAGCAAGAUUGGUAAGUAGGACCA
Molecule: long non-coding RNA, 1221 nt
Filed under: Homo sapiens (human)
Lineage: Eukaryota; Metazoa; Chordata; Mammalia; Primates; Hominidae
Description: HSALNT0326734
Source: RNAcentral